CCCUGGAGGACUAGUGGUUAGGCCUCGGUGCUUUCACUGCCACGGCUCGGGUUCGAUUCCCAGCCAGUCG
RNAcentral lists this transfer RNA (70 nucleotides) under Pangasianodon gigas (Mekong giant catfish). RNAcentral's name for it is "tRNA-Glu". Lineage: Eukaryota; Metazoa; Chordata; Actinopteri; Siluriformes; Pangasiidae. The record is from RNAcentral.